UUCAAUCGCUCACAAUGCUCAAGUUGCUUUUGUUGUUGGGCAUUUAUGUUUUAUGAAGCUGUUGUUAGUAUUACAUUCCAUUUGGUAUGCACUUAAUUCAUAGUUCAUUUCACUUUUGGCAAAUGAGCAAGAAUUUUCACCAAAUAUGCAAAACAAAGAAAAACCUCAAACGAGAAUUUAAAUUAUUAAAUUUACACAAAAACCCAUGAAUCUUUAAUAUUUCAAUUUCUUCAUAGAACCAACAACACUGCACAGACACACUGCAUUUGCACUAUAUUUAUGUGAAUUUUGUUUCAUAUUUCGAUAGCAUUUUCCACAUAAACCAAUUAUUAUUCAAAUUUUUGGCAUUUUCAUUUAACUCUACAACAAUAACAAUCACCAUUGCAUUGCAUUUUGAAAUCAUGAACUCACGCUCACAUACAGAGAUGCAUGCGAAACGCCCUGUAGGAAAAUCGAGGCACCAAAAUUGGAUAUGUGAGUAGUGGUAUACCUAGGUGACUUGGUGAUUAGAACAACUAAUUUUUAUAGCCGUGAUUUCUAUUGAAAAAAUAUAUUGGUAGCUUAUUAUUUACUAAUUUUUAAUAAAGGGUUCCCAAGGCAAUCGUCUUGCUUACGGAUUGAAGCUAAGAAUGAAUUUGACCAAAGACAAAUCCUUCUGCGUUUAAGUGAUUUCAAAAGUACGCUCCUUGACGCAAGUAGUUAUUAACCGGUUUCUUAUCUUUGAGAAUCUGCUCCCAACAUGCUCUGUUUGACUUUCCAUAUAACCGCUAUGAUGAAUGUUUUUCACAAGUUCAGAAUUUUCCUAUAUGGAAGUGAGCUGCUUCAAUUCAACCUCACAAAUAGAUACACAAGAAAAAUUGACUUAACAAAAUCGAAAAAA
Zeugodacus cucurbitae (melon fly) is the source of this 880-nucleotide long non-coding RNA. RefSeq lists it as uncharacterized. The transcript is spliced from 3 exons. Lineage: Eukaryota; Metazoa; Arthropoda; Insecta; Diptera; Tephritidae. The record is from RefSeq and is a predicted model, not a curated record.